Molecule: ribosomal RNA, 494 nt
Filed under: uncultured bacterium
Lineage: Bacteria
Description: partial 16S ribosomal RNA
Rfam family: Bacterial small subunit ribosomal RNA
Source: RNAcentral
GACGAACGCUGGCGGCGUGCUUAACACAUGCAAGUCGAACGGAAAGGCCUGCUUUUCCUUGUGGAUUGCGGGUACUCGGGUGGCGAACGGGUGAGUAACAAGUGAGUGUUCUGCCCCCAACUUGGGUAUAAGCCUGGGAAACUGGGUCUAAUUCCCGAUAGGACUGCAGGGUUGUGCCUGUGGUGGAAGACGAUCUUCUAGUGGUUGGGGAUGAGCUCGCGGCCUAUCAGCUUGUUGGUGGGGUAAUGGCCUACCAAGGCGGCGACUGGUAGCCGGCCUGGGAGGGUGGACGGUGACAGUGGGACAGGGAUACGGCCCAGACGCCAGCGGGCGGCAGCAGUUGGGAAGAUGUGAGAAUGGGCGGAAGCCUGAUGCAGCGACGCCGCGAGGAGGAUGACGGCCUUCGGGUUGUAAGCUCCUUUCGACCGAGAGGAGGCCACGUGGUUGGAAGGGUGGUGACGGUAGUGGUAGAAGAAGCACCGGCUAACUACGUG